Molecule: non-coding RNA, 1937 nt
Organism: Paramuricea clavata
Lineage: Eukaryota; Metazoa; Cnidaria; Anthozoa; Malacalcyonacea; Plexauridae
Source: the annotation of a GenBank genome assembly
GUCCCCGCGCAUGUCGGCUCGCGCAUCUUGGCCGCGUCUCGUUUCCAGUGCCCUAAACAAGUGUAAUUUGACAAAUUUACAUAUAAACAUUAAGGAGUGAGGAAGUUAAAACGAUACCAAUCGAGUUUUAGAGCUUUGGUGACCAUUUUAAAAGAAUAUAUGAUAAAUUCAAAGGUAAGUCUAUCGUAUUACAUUGUCUUAAAUGAAUUCUCAGCUAAAAUACGGCAAUAAAUGGAUCAUAAAUUUAGUUAAAUUCACUGUUGACAACGAGGUUGACAGAUCCAAUGAUUUUUUUCCUUGAAUAGCUUUACCAUAGUCAUUUUACCUUAAAAUGUGGCUACCGAGGAUAUCUCUAAGAGAUUUUGCACAGAUUAUUUGCACAAUCUCACGAUUUAAUCAUGCUGAUAACAUGAAAAUCCUUGUGCCAUUGUAUACUUGGCAUAUUAAUCUCCACAUCAAUAGUUCACCAGUUCAACACUUAUAAGUUAUAAAUUCAAUAUAUUUUUGAACCAGUCCAUAUAUUAUUAUACACAAUGUAGUAUAGUUAAUUUGACCAUUGAGAAGUAAGGGUGUAUUACAUUACACAGACACUGCUGAAUUUUAGGUUACAUGCCAUUGGAUUGAUAUAUAAAAACAUUUGUAAAAACACACAUUAUCUUGUUGAUAGAAUAGUUAUUUGCAGUAUACUAACUGUUGGCAUACUCUAUUUCAGGCCUAUCAAUUGUUUUUGUCACUGGCAAUCUUUGAAAUACAAUCUUGCUCUGUGGCCUUUACUGACAAGUUGGCUUUUACUACAUAUGUGGCACUGACACCUCUUUAAUUAAUGCACCAGUCAAUGUAAACCCCCCAACCGGGGAGGGGCAGGGAUUUUGACUUGGAGGGGUAGUAAAAGCAAAAUUGUCCCGCCCCCAGGGACAUCAAUGUCCCCUGCAUGUCUCUCAACUGCGGGAAAAUAGUUUUGUAUAAUCAUAGAUCAGCAAUAGAAAAUCAAAUUCAUUUAAUAUGUUGUUGUAUUUAAACUUUUCUUGUCAAGAAAACUAAAACAGCAACACAGGAUAUAUAUAUUAACCACCGUCCAAGUCUCCCAUCAUCGGGGCAAAUUUAUAAUCAAAACAGACCACUUUCCCCACUAAACCUCCCGCCCCUCCCCGGUUGGGGGCAGGGAUUUACAUUGACUGGUGCAUAACUAGAUGAUUGCAUGAAAGUUGAUUUACGUAUAAUUAGUUUAUGAAUAAACUCGCACUUUCAUUGUAGAGGUUAAGAUUUGAGUUCUACUAGCACUAUCUCUGACUGCCUUAAGCCGCGUUCACACCAGCGGCCCAGGCCUGGCCUUGACCUGGCCUGGGCCAAUUGUGACGCAUUCACACUGGCUUGACGCCCAACUCCAGGCCAAAGCAAUCAGGCGUCAAUAUAAACGUCCUUGUGUUCCACUAAAGUAUUUAAUUUUGCGCUUUGAAUGUUUUUCCCUCCAAUUGUAUGACAAUCAUCUGACCAGUUUUUAUCGUGGGCAGAUAUUGCGAUGGUAACGGGGCCUCGCCCAGGCCAGGCACAGGAAAAACCUGUUCACACCAGUGAUGAUCAAGGCCAGGCCAGGUCCAGGCCACCUACAUUUGCUGGCCUGGAUUUCUUGACUUAGGCCAGGCUCAGGCCAGGUAAAACCCGUUCACACCUAGACCCAGGCUAGGUCCAGGCCAGGCCUGGGCCGCUAGUGUGAACGCGGCUUUAGUAUGCAUCUGAUUGGUUAUAAUGGUUGAUCGAAUAUAUCAAAUGCAUUUGAUGGUCCCUUAAUGGUAAUGGUAGUCAAAUCUGAACCUCUAUAAUGUCAAUGAAGAAUGCAUACUGGAAAAGUAUCAAAUUAAAUUUUAAUUGUCAAUGUUGUGGAAAGUAAAUAAAUCAAACAAUUCUGUUUGUUUCAACUAACUAGUUCACUAUCACUU